Molecule: ribosomal RNA, 1411 nt
Filed under: Micrococcaceae bacterium 1073/1
Lineage: Bacteria; Bacillati; Actinomycetota; Actinomycetes; Micrococcales; Micrococcaceae
Description: bacterial SSU rRNA
Rfam family: Bacterial small subunit ribosomal RNA
Source: RNAcentral
GCGGCGUGCUUAACACAUGCAAGUCGAACGCUGAAGCUCCCAGCUUGCUGGGGGUGGAUGAGUGGCGAACGGGUGAGUAUCACGUGAGGAACCUGCCCUGAACUUCGGGAUAAGCCUGGGAAACUGGGUCUAAUACUGGAUAGGACCUGCCAUCGCAUGGUGGUGGGUGGAAAGCUUUUGCGGUUUGGGAUGGUCUCGCGGCCUAUCAGCUUGUUGGUGGGGUAAUGGCCUACCAAGGCUUUGACGGGUAGCCGGCCUGAGAGGGUGACCGGCCACACUGGGACUGAGACACGGCCCAGACUCCUACGGGAGGCAGCAGUGGGGGAUAUUGCACAAUGGGGGAAACCCUGAUGCAGCGACGCCGCGUGAGGGAUGACGGCCUUCGGGUUGUAAACCUCUUUCAGUUGGGAAGAAGCCCUUUGGGGUGACGGUACCUUCAGAAGAAGCACCGGCUAACUACGUGCCAGCAGCCGCGGUAAUACGUAGGGUGCGAGCGUUAUCCGGAAUUAUUGGGCGUAAAGAGCUCGUAGGCGGUUUGUCACGUCUGCUGUGAAAGCCCAGGGCUUAACCCUGGGUUUGCAGUGGGUACGGGCAGGCUGGAGUGCAGUAGGGGAGACUGGAAUUCCUGGUGUAGCGGUGAAAUGCGCAGAUAUCAGGAGGAACACCGAUGGCGAAGGCAGGUCUCUGGGCUGUUACUGACGCUGAGGAGCGAAAGCAUGGGGAGCGAACAGGAUUAGAUACCCUGGUAGUCCAUGCCGUAAACGUUGGGCACUAGGUGUGGGGACCAUUUCCACGGUUUCCGCGCCGUAGCUAACGCAUUAAGUGCCCCGCCUGGGGAGUACGGCCGCAAGGCUAAAACUCAAAGGAAUUGACGGGGGCCCGCACAAGCGGCGGAGCAUGCGGAUUAAUUCGAUGCAACGCGAAGAACCUUACCAAGGCUUGACAUACACUGGAUCGCCGCAGAGAUGUGGUUUCCCUUCGGGUCCAGUGUACAGGUGGUGCAUGGUUGUCGUCAGCUCGUGUCGUGAGAUGUUGGUUAAGUCCGCACGAGCGGACCUUAUUCUAUGUUGCCAGCACGUUAUGGUGGGGACUCAUGGGAGACUGCCGGGGUCAACUCGGAGGAAGGUGGGGACGACGUCAAAUCAUCAUGCCCCUUAUGUCUUGGGCUUCACGCAUGCUACAAUGGYCGGCACAAUGGGUUGCGAGAUCGUGAGGUUGAGCUAAUCCCAUAAAACCGGUCUCAGUUCGGAUUGGGGUCUGCAACUCGACCCCAUGAAGUCGGAGUCGCUAGUAAUCGCAGAUCAGCAACGCUGCGGUGAAUACGUUCCCGGGCCUUGUACACACCGCCCGUCAAGUCACGAAAGUUGGUAACACCCGAACCGGUGGCCCAACCAGUUUACUGGGGGGAGCC